CAAUAGCGUAUAUUAAAGCUGUUGCGGUUAAAAAGCUCGUAGUUGGAUUUCUGUCAGGGACAACUGGUCCGCCCUCCGGGUGAGCACAUAGUUUGGUCUUGGCAUCUUGCUGGAAACUGUUGCUGCGCUUGGUUGUGUGGUGCAGCUUUCAGCACUUUCACUUUGAGGAAAUUGGAGUGUUUCAAGCAGGCACAUGCCUUUGGACACAGUAGCAUGGAAUAAUUAGAUUGGGCUUUUGCUCCAACUUGUUGGUUCCUGGAGCUGAGGUGAGAAUCAAUGGGGAUUGUUGGGGGCAUCCGAAUUUAGCCGUCAGAGGUGAAAUUCUUGGAUCUGCUAAAGACGGACAACUGCGAAAGCGUUUGCCCAGGAUGUUUNCAUUGA
This 381-nucleotide ribosomal RNA is filed under the name uncultured eukaryote. RNAcentral's name for it is "partial 18S ribosomal RNA". It matches the Rfam family "Eukaryotic small subunit ribosomal RNA", at positions 592 to 976 of the family's 1831-position model. The record is from RNAcentral.